This 486-nucleotide ribosomal RNA is filed under the name Phylloscopus collybita (eurasian chiffchaff). RNAcentral's name for it is "partial 16S ribosomal RNA". It matches the Rfam family "Bacterial large subunit ribosomal RNA", at positions 1923 to 2568 of the family's 2925-position model. Lineage: Eukaryota; Metazoa; Chordata; Aves; Passeriformes; Phylloscopidae. The record is from RNAcentral.
UUUAACGGCCGCGGUAUCCUAACCGUGCAAAGGUAGCGCAAUCAAUUGUCCCGUAAAUCGGGACUUGUAUGAAUGGCUAAACGAGGUCUUAACUGUCUCUUACAGGCAAUCGGUGAAAUUGAUCUCCCUGUGCGAAAGCAGGGAUGCACACAUAAGACGAGAAGACCCUGUGGAACUUCAAAAACAGCGACCACCCCAAAAUACAUCUACCCCCACCCCGGGCUCACUUACCCUACGGGCUACUGGUUCGCAUUUUUUCGGUUGGGGCGACCUUGGAGCAAAACAGAACCUCCAAAAAUUAGACCAAACCUCUAGACUGAGAGCAACACCUCUACGUGCUAAUAGCAUCCAGACCCAAUAUAAUUGAUCAAUGGACCAAGCUACCCCAGGGAUAACAGCGCAAUCUCCUCCAAGAGUCCAUAUCGACGAGGAGGUUUACGACCUCGAUGUUGGAUCAGGACAUCCUAGUGGUGCAGCAGCUACUAA